RNAcentral lists this ribosomal RNA (498 nucleotides) under uncultured bacterium. RNAcentral describes it as "partial 16S ribosomal RNA". It matches the Rfam family "Bacterial small subunit ribosomal RNA", at positions 30 to 523 of the family's 1533-position model. The record is from RNAcentral.
AUUGAACGCUGGCGGCAUGCCUUACACAUGCAAGUCGAACGGUAACAGGUCUUCGGACGCUGACGAGUGGCGAACGGGUGAGUAAUACAUCGGAACGUGCCCAGUCGUGGGGGAUAACUACUCGAAAGAGUAGCUAAUACCGCAUACGACCUGAGGAUGAAAGCGGGGGACCUUCGGGCCUCGCGCGACUGGAGCGGCCGAGGGCAGAUUAGGUAGUUGGUGGGAUAAAAGCUUACCAAGCCGACGAUCUGUAGCUGGUCUGAGAGGACGACCAGCCACACUGGGACUGAGACACGGCCCAGACUCCUACGGGAGGCAGCAGUGGGGAAUUUUGGACAAUGGGCGAAAGCCUGAUCCAGCAAUGCCGCGUGCAGGAUGAAGGCCUUCGGGUUGUAAACUGCUUUUGUACGGAACGAAAAAGUCUCCUCUAAUACGGGAGGCCCAUGACGGUACCGUAAGAAUAAGCACCGGCUAACUACGUGCCAGCCGCCGCCGUAA